UCGGAUGCUCUCAAUGCUGCUGCGCUCCAGUGCCUUCCCGCCCCCGCCUGGUGACAAGGCCUUCAUUUGAGGCCAUAACAAUGACAGUGGAGAAGCCCCAGCCGUGCUCCUUGCAUGAAUUCUGGAGCAGAGGAAAUGCAGCUCUUGUGGACCCACUAAAUUCACUCGAUACUUCAAGCAAGGAAUUCAGAAUACUUACAAGCAAAGAGAAAAGCAAAUUCUAAAGGACACAUUCGGUGAUGUGAUUCUAGAUCAAUAGAACAAAGAGAGAUCCAAGAAUUCAGAUUCCUAAAGAAGCGACAUUCAGAUUUAUUGUUAACUUGCCAAUGAACUUCCCACAGACAAGAACCAAAGCCAGCAGAACAAAGCAGCCCCAGAUGUGUUCUACUCUAUUAUCUGAAGUAAAUGAAAAUCAACCCUGAGGUAGAGAACCUCCUUCUACUACCAUCGAAGUCCUUGAUCUGUUUCCCAACAUGAAUUAACCUUUCCAUGUUUUCGUUACAUUUGAACAUCAGGAAUGUGUAGACGGAAGCAGUUCAUCCUGGGAGGUGAGAAUGAGCAUUGAAAGAGCCAUCCGUGAAACCGUAAGGCUGGGAAAGAGAAGUGAAGGGGCACAUGGAAGUGUUCAUCUCUGUGGCAGGGAAAAAUAAUCCGGAGAAGAUGAGUCACACUUCAUUUGUAACCCAUGAAUGAAAAUCAAUACUGUUACCUAUCGUAAAUUACACUGAACAUAGUGCUUACACUUGAGUAGCAAUGCAGUAAAACCACUAUGAGCCAACUGAUUGACUUUUCUAGAUCCCAAUUCUAUCAUUCAUCUUCUGGUAUUCAUCUUCUGGCUUAGCUACUGUUUCCUGGCAUAGAUUCUUAAUAAAGAUCCUUUCUCCUUGGUC
Molecule: long non-coding RNA, 890 nt
Organism: Gorilla gorilla gorilla (western lowland gorilla)
Lineage: Eukaryota; Metazoa; Chordata; Mammalia; Primates; Hominidae
Exons: 4
Source: RefSeq, a predicted model, not a curated record